AGCUUUGCGCAGUGGCAGUAUCGUAACCAAUGAGGUUUAUCCGAGGCGUGAUGAUUGCUCAUUGGAAAUACAUUCUUCAUUUAUUUGCAUUUCAUCUUUAAGA
This 103-nucleotide small nuclear RNA is filed under the name Vulpes vulpes (red fox). RNAcentral's name for it is "U4 spliceosomal RNA (ENSVVUG00000018919.1)". It matches the Rfam family "U4 spliceosomal RNA", at positions 1 to 101 of the family's 138-position model. Rfam says of the family: U4 small nuclear RNA (U4 snRNA) is a component of the major U2-dependent spliceosome. Lineage: Eukaryota; Metazoa; Chordata; Mammalia; Carnivora; Canidae. The record is from RNAcentral.